UCGAACCCAAGCAGUAACUAACUUUCCUAUAACACAAAUUAUAUCUACAAAAUAAAGAGGAGUAAAACAUAGAUUUAAAAGGAUAAAACGUGCUUCAGAAUUCAACUUUCUCCAUAUUCUACAAAGAGAACCAACAACAUUUAUCCCAAUCUGUAAUUCUUUUGUAAUAGAAAAUAUGUCUAUAAAAUAAAGAAGAUUAAAAUGUAAAUUUAGAGUGACAACAAGUGUUUCACAUCAAAACUCACAAGCAACAAUAUUUCAACUAAGUAGAAGAGCAUUGAAUUGAAGAUAAAUAAAUGAAGGCAGAUUACAACCAUUAAAAAGCAAAGUAAAAAUGAUAUGCAACUUGUAUAUUUUGCUACAAACUGAUUUGUGAAAGUAGAUGAAUAUCUUUUGUUUAUGUGAUAAACACCUCUUCGUCUUGUAAUAUCAUCAAUUGAUAUUUCUUGUUUCUCUCCCUGUUGGUUCGAGGAUGGCCUUUAUCUACCACUUGAACUUUACAAGUCCAUUCUUCCGUGUUCUCGUCGAUUUUGUUGAUAUUCUAUAUUUCUGUCAUGGAUGGUAACUGAGAUUAAAAUAUGCAAGCCAACAUAAUAACGAAAGAUAUGAAAUAGAGGGAUAUAUGAAGUUAAAUAAUAGGGAUAAUGUCCAAGUACCCCCUCAACCUAUGCCCGAAAUCCCAGAGACACACUUAUACUAUACUAAGGUCCUAUUACCCCCCUGAACUUAUUUUAUCAAUAAUUUUUUACCCCUUUUCGGCCUACGUGGCACUAUCUUGUGGGUCCAACGAUGGUUGACUUUUUUUUUGAAACCAGUGCCACGUAGGCAAAAAAGGGGUAGAAAAUUACUUAUAAAAUAAGUUCAGGGGGGUAAUAGGACCUUAGUAUAGUAUAAGUGUGUCUCUGGGAUUUCGGGCAUAGGUUGAGGGGGUACUUGGGUAUUUUCCCUAAAUAAUAUAAUACAAUAUGUUGUCUACCUAUGAAAAACUUAAGAUAGUUUCAAGAAAAAUCUUUUUCAAUAAUGAGAUCAUGUUUCCACGUAUACCAUCUACUAAUAAAUUCUUACUUUGUCUAAACACAUUUCUGUUAAUUUUCUAGUCAUUUUCCGCUUCAUUAGUAGCAAGACAAUAACUUUGUAUCCUUGAACUCCUAAGACACAUCCAAAUCUUCUAUCAAUCAAAAUGGAGCAGAACAGAGUGAUUGAACAACUACUAACGAAGGAGAUAAAAUGAGGAGUGAGAGAAAAAGAGAUCAUAAUAACGGAUAGGAAAGAACAUACCUAUAAACGAACCUUAGUUGUAAGAAUUUCAAAUCCUUACCUUCACCCUGCACCGUAAAAUAAUUAUAGAAUAAAUUUAGUAUUUUUGUAAUUUUUAUUCAUCAAACAACAUCUGUUAUACUAUGUGGCCUUAUCUACACAGACAAUUAAGUUGAUCACAAAAUUAAAGGUUGCUAACUUUUUUUUCCAAAGAGGUCGUGCCAAAAUACACAUUAAUAAUAGGAAUUCAGAUAAACAAAAGGUUACUUCAUCUAACAAAACACAAUAAAAAUGUGAAAGAAAUAAAGAAUAGUACACCAAAAACCAUAAUUACUCAACCAAUAUCAUAGAGUUAAGAACAAUUCUAAUGAAAAUGGAUCUCACUAUUAUAGUUGGAUGGAAAUAGAAAUGGGAUGAACCAAUCUAAAUGAAAAUGAGCAGAAGUGUAUAACUUGGACAGCUACAGGCAUUCCAUGAACCUCUUUAGCAUUUUGAAACACAGUUAGAUCAUGCCCUGAUCGACUCUUGAAUUACUACACUGCUAGUACAAAUUAGGGUUGUGGAAAGUCUCUAUCAAAGUUUGGAAUACACUCCUGCAACUUUAUGGCGGUCCACAUGCAAUGGAAGUAGUGCAAGAAUUUGUUAGGAUAGAAAAGAAUAUGUUAUUAUAGUAAAAUACUGAUAUAUCUCCUUAAUUUUCUUUUGGGGCAUCAUAGCUUCAGUUAAUGAUGUAAAAGUCAUAAUAAAAAAAUAAAAUAAAAUAAUUUUAAAGCCAUGAUCAUUUCAACAUGUGAAGUAGUUGUUCUGUAUUUACUGUCCAACAAUAGUCUUGAUGUUGAAAAUCAACAAUAAGGCUCCUUACUUGAUUAGAAAACCAGCUUUCCGUAAACCUUAAUGGGGGAAGUUGAUUUGUGCUGAUAAGUAGCUGAUGACUAUUGUUGUAGCUACUUUACAAAAUUAUUGGGACUCCAAAACACAAGAUAAAUAAAAAAUUACAAAAAUCGAGAAAAUUAAUUCAGAUGGGGAAAAAUCAUAUAUGAACAGAGGAAGUUGAAAAUAAUUUUGAUAAAGAAACUCAAGCUAAAUAAACCACAAAGUAAAUUGGAAGUCCAAACUAAUACUACAUGUAACAAAAGACAACCAAAAUCUACUGCAUGUGAAAAUAUAUAGAUUUUUGAUAUAUGAACAUAGGAAGAUAAGCUGAUGUAUGCCAUUGUUUUCGGUUAAGCUCAAACAAACACAAUGCUACUCAAAGAUACAAACUUUUAAAGGGAAACAACCCAUUUAGGCACAGAAAUAAAAUUUAUAAACUACAUCAAUCCAUCAUAUUAAAAAUUAAAUUCAAUUUCAUUCUUGAUUAUACACCAUAAACAAGAAGAGAGCUUUAGUUUUUAUGUUAUUUUUUUGAAAAAAAAGGGUUCUUACAUUGGCAAUAGAAUCCAAUUGAUGCACAAAACCUUUGUUCUUUCUUGUUCAUCUCUUAUAAACCUCCAUACCCCACAUACCCAAAUAAAAUUUCAUAUAUUCACACACCUAAAUCAAACUUAAUCACCCAAUCAAAAGGAUAAUCCAACGUUAAUAACAAUCCCAAAAGAAAAAAUAAGGAAACAUUCACAUACCCAAAAUAAAUUUGGAACUUCAACUUUGAUGAAAAGGAAGAUGACGGGGAAAAAAGCUCCACAUACCCAAAUCAAAUUUGGCAUAUUUAUACAUCUAUAUCAAAUUUAAUCACCCAACCAAAAGGAUAAUCCAACAUCCAUAAGAAAAUCUCAAAUGGGAAAACAAGGGAACAUUAGCUGAACCAAAUCAAAUUUGGAACUUCAACUUUGAUGAAAAUAAAAAUGACGGGAAAAAAACAAGCUCAAUUGGAACAUGCAAAAUCUUACCUGGUAAAUGAUGAAGAGAAAGAAUUGAACUUUGAUGUGAAAAUAGUGAUAUCAUUACAGGAAGAAUAGAAGGAAGACAUAGAGGAUCACAUGCAUAAGUUGAUAUCAGGAAGACACGUUGCAAAAAGAAAUUGAAAAGACAAAAAUUGAUUUAACAACAAGAUGACACCUAACCAUUAUAGAAACUUUAAAAGACAAAAAUGCCCCUAAAAAUGAAGCAAGCAUGUUGAACUAUCCUUU
This 3383-nucleotide long non-coding RNA is filed under the name Solanum lycopersicum (tomato). RNAcentral describes it as "long non-coding RNA (SLYC_LNC001317)". Lineage: Eukaryota; Viridiplantae; Streptophyta; Magnoliopsida; Solanales; Solanaceae. The record is from RNAcentral.